GGAGCGUUCUGUAAGCCUGCGAAGGUGUGCUGUGAGGCAUGCUGGAGGUAUCAGAAGUGCGAAUGCUGACAUAAGUAACGAUAAAGCGGGUGAAAAGCCCGCUCGCCGGAAGACCAAGGGUUCCUGUCCAACGUUAAUCGGGGCAGGGUGAGUCGACCCCUAAGGCGAGGCCGAAAGGCGUAGUCGAUGGGAAACAGGUUAAUAUUCCUGUACUUGGUGUUACUGCGAAGGGGGGACGGAGAAGGCUAUGUUGGCCGGGCGACGGUUGUCCCGGUUUAAGCGUGUAGGCUGGUUUUCCAGGCAAAUCCGGAAAAUCAAGGCUGAGGCGUGAUGACGAGGCACUACGGUGCUGAAGCAACAAAUGCCCUGCUUCCAGGAAAAGCCUCUAAGCAUCAGGUAACAUCAAAUCGUACCCCAAACCGACACAGGUGGUCAGGUAGAGAAUACCAAGGCGCUUGAGAGAACUCGGGUGAAGGAACUAGGCAAAAUGGUGCCGUAACUUCGGGAGAAGGCACGCUGAUAUGUAGGUGAAGUCCCUUGCGGAUGGAGCUGAAAUCAGUCGAAGAUACCAGCUGGCUGCAACUGUUUAUUAAA
RNAcentral lists this ribosomal RNA (594 nucleotides) under Shigella sonnei. RNAcentral describes it as "partial 23S ribosomal RNA". It matches the Rfam family "Bacterial large subunit ribosomal RNA", at positions 1233 to 1811 of the family's 2925-position model. Lineage: Bacteria; Pseudomonadati; Pseudomonadota; Gammaproteobacteria; Enterobacterales; Enterobacteriaceae. The record is from RNAcentral.